RNAcentral lists this ribosomal RNA (471 nucleotides) under uncultured bacterium. RNAcentral describes it as "bacterial SSU rRNA". It matches the Rfam family "Bacterial small subunit ribosomal RNA", at positions 329 to 792 of the family's 1533-position model. The record is from RNAcentral.
GGCCAGACUCCUACGGGAGGCAGCAGUGGGGAAUAUUGCGCAAUGGACGAAAGUCUGACGCAGCGACGCCGCGUGAGGGAUGAAGGUUUUCGGAUCGUAAACCUCUGUCAGGAGGGAAGAAAGCGUAUGGCGCCAAUCAGCCAUGCGUUGACGGUACCUCCAAAGGAAGCACCGGCUAACUCCGUGCCAACAGCCGCGGUAAUACGGAGGGUGCGAGCGUUAAUCGGAAUCACUGGGCGUAAAGCGCGCGUAGGCGGCUUUUCAAGUCAGGGGUGAAAUCCCACGGCCCAACCGUGGAACUGCCUUUGAAACUGCAGAGCUUGAGUGUCGGAGAGGGUGGCGGAAUUCCAGGUGUAGGAGUGAAAUCCGUAGAUAUCGGGAGGAACACCGGUGGCGAAGGCGGCCACCUGGACGACAACUGACGCUGAGGUGCGAAAGCGUGGGUAGCAAACAGGAUUAGAUACCCUCGUA